Long non-coding RNA from Aegilops tauschii subsp. strangulata, 3160 nucleotides. RefSeq lists it as uncharacterized. The record is from RefSeq and is a predicted model, not a curated record. Lineage: Eukaryota; Viridiplantae; Streptophyta; Magnoliopsida; Poales; Poaceae.
GCCCCCGCCCCGGCACUGUCUCCACUUUCAUUUGGGGGGUUCUGUUUUGAUAAGGCAAGGAGAAGGGAAGGAGCUCGAGCGGCGGAGGAGAGGAAGCGAUUUCUUAUGUUCAUGGCGAUUCCGGGCUAUUCCACCGCCCGAUUUCGAUUUCUCCUCCCUUUUCUAUUCGAUCCCCGCUGCCGCGGUUGGUUGUCCUUGUCUCUCGCGUUUCCCUGUGUUGUGGCUAUGUAGUUCCGGAUCUAGGUAAGUUUUGGAUCCGUGGUUCAUCUGUUAUUGGUGUUGUCCGUGGAUCCGUGGUAGGUGCAUGUUGCUGCCGUGUUUGUUUCUAGUCCGCCAUGCCUAGCGCUCCAUUUCCCAUCCUUCUGCCCGCCUGAGUUGUGUAGGAGCUUGUUGUAUGUGGGGAGUUCUAAUCCAUCUCCUUGUUGUGGUCCUUUUCUCCCCUGCUUGUAGAUGUAGAGGUAGGCGUAGGUUGUUUAUUCUGAUGUAGAUGUAGAGGUAGGCGAAGUUAUAGUUGCAGCGGUGGAUUCGCCCUAUCAAUUUUAUUUCUGCUGGCCUGGGUGUCUGUUCCUUUGUCGUUAGAUGUAGUUGCAGAUGGUCUAGCAUGGGUUUCUGCCUGCUUCUGCAGUUUACUUGUAGUUGCUGUUAGCUGCUGAUGUUUGCUGUUGUAAUCCCUGGAAUUCAAUAUGAUUUUUUUUGUUAGAUGUAGGUGUUCAUUUCACCCGGUACCUGAAUCUCUCUGAAUUUGUGUGUACUAGGCUGCAGUGUUGUUGUAGUGUUAGUCCAGGAAUCUCUCUGAAUUUCAUGCUUCUUUACGGUGUAUUUUUACUCCAGACUUGAAGUGUAACUUACCCCUAGAAUUACAGUGUAUCCCCAUCCAGAAUUACUGUGUAAUUUAACUCAUAAUUACAGUGUAACUUGCCCCAUAAUUGCAGUGCAUUUACAGUGUAGCCUGAUGCUUCUUUAUUUGUUGUUACUCUGUAAUUUGUCCUAGUAGUACUGUGUAUUUCCCCCCUAAUUACAGUGUAAUCCUGAUGCUUCUUUCUUCAGUGUAAAUUUUGCUAUAAUUACUGUGUAACAUGUCGUAGAAUUACACUGUAGGUUACCCUGCAAUUACAGUGCAAUAUACCGUGAUUACCGUGUGUUUUUUGUGCUUCUUUAUUUGUAAUUACUGUGUAAUUUUCCCUAGAGUUACUGUGUAAUAUUUUCCCCCGUUACCGUGUAAUUCUCAUGCUUCUUUCAGUGUAAAUUGCAGUGUAUAUUUUUCAGUGUAAUACUGCGCCAGUUUCUUUGUUAUUUACAUUGUAAUUUUUCUCAGAUGUUUUGCAUGCAUUCAUGUAGUUUUGCACUGUAAUAUCCCCCAUUCUUACUAUAUAAUUUAUCUUCAGUUUUUGGCAGUGUACUUCCUCUACCUUUUCAUUGUAAGUUGCCCUAAUUAUUGUGUAUUUUGACUCAGAGUUUCACUGUAUUUAGGUUGGUUUUUACACUGUAUUUUAAGUGAUUCUUGCACUGUAUUAAUAUGCCCCAUUAUUCUAUAUAAUUCCCCUGAUUGCUGCCUUUCAGUGUAUUUGUUGUGAGAUUUCCCUUGUAAUUGAGCCCCAUUACUCUAUAAUUUUCAACUUUCUUUAAUUUCUUUUUUUUUCGUGUGUCAUGUAUUCUGUUUUGUUAGGUUUAGGUCAAUGGGGAGACUACGGAAAGUCUCUCACAAGGAUGUUUCGGUAGUUUCUUCUAUCGUGAGUGCUGAUUCUUGGAAUGAUCAUUUUGUGCCUAAUGACUUUGCGGAAGAUGGUUCUAAUGCUAUGUCUUUGGAUCUUUCUAGUGAUGAUAGAGGGUUUGAUAAAGCUAUUUUUCAAGAAUUUCAUUGCAAUCCCCAUGCUUCCUUUUUGUAAUUGCAGUGUAAUAUACCCUAGAAUUGCAGUGUAAUUUAGCCCAGAUUUUAGUGUAAUCCCAAUGCUUCAUUUUUUUAAUUACAGUGUAAUUUUCCUAGAAUUUUGCAGUGUAAACUCCAUGCUUCAUUUAUGUAAUUACAGUGUAAUUUUCCCCAUAAUUACAGUUUAAACUUCAUGCUUUAUUUAUGUAAUUAUAGUGUAAUUAUUCCCCGAAUUGCAGUGUAAUUUUUCCUAGAACUUCAGUGUAAAUUUCAUUUUUUUUCUAAACAAAGUAGUGUAAUUUUCCUGCUGAACCUCUAUUACUUGAUAUUUGAGCUUCAUUCUUGUUCAGCUUUGCUUGAAUUACAGUGGAUUUUAACUCUGUUUAGGGCGAUUAUCCUGUGUAGUUCCUUGGUUAUUAUCAUUGUAAUCCACUAGUGUGAUUAUUCAUUUCCUUCACUGUCCAUGUGUACGAGCACUGUAACAAGCUCUGCUUUUCAUUGUCAAUAUUAAUGCCUUCAUCUGAUAGGACUUGUGUUCUUUAUGCUGAUAGGUAUGUCUUUGUAUUCAUGACUUCGUCUGAACUUGCAUGUAUCUCUGUAAUCCACUGAGUUCAUGUUAGUUACAUUGCCCUGUAUCGCAGCAAAGAUUUUUUCAUGUGUACUACAGCAAAGUUUUUUUCAUGUAAUUUCCCCAUGGUUCAUGCUACCUACAUUGCCCUAUACUGCAGCAAAGUUUUUUUCAUGUGUACCUUACACUGGAAUUCGUGUUGGUGUAGUGUUUUGACAGUGAAAUAUUAACAGUUUUACCUUCUGACAGUUAGAAUUUCCCCCCUGAUGAUUCCCACAUUUUCACUAGAUUGUAUGAUGUUUUUUUUUUCUACAGGCUAGUUCAUGUAGGAUGUGUAUCUAGAGCAGCGGGGUGAGGAAAAACACGGAAGAGUUCAAUAGAAGUGUGAUCAAAAGGAGUAGGACAUUACGUGAGCUGUGGACCGUCUCUUGGUUGAUCUUCCUCUGCCCUCCACCAAUUAUUCGGAUCUGUUCUUCCCCCUUGCUUCUCUCCAGGUGAUUUGUUGUCCAGGAAAGGAAAAAAGAGCAUGGGCAACGGUCCAGGUGGGUUUCGUGAUAGUUGCCUUGUUUUGUUUUGGUUAUUAGUUAGAACCGGGUCAGAUUUUAGCCGCCCGACCCAUUUUUUUGGAAAUACAAGCAUACAAUUGUCCAUGGUAUUUGGACAUAGGUGUCAGCGCUUGAUUUGUCAGGAAAUUUGACUAUAAUAUAGUGCUUUUUACCUUUGUA